GUAAGCAUUCUAAGUGAUGGGUCUGUUGUUGUUGAAGUUGGGGGAAUAGAGCUGGGCCAGGGGCUCUGGACAAAGGUAAAACAGAUGGCUGCAUUUGGUCUUGGUUCAAUCAAAUGUGUCGGAGUUGGAGACCUCUUGGACAAAGUGCGAGUCAUAGAAUCCAAUACCUUGAGUUUAAUUCAAGGGGGGUUUACUUCUGGGAGCACUACCUCUGAGUCAAGCUGUGAAGCAGUUAGAAUGUGCUGUAAAACCUUGGUUGACAGACUGACACCUCUAAAGGAAAGGUUGCAAGCGCAAAUAGGUUCUGUAAAAUGGGACAUGCUUAUUCGCCAGGCCUAUUUGGAAGCUGUGAACUUAUCA
RNAcentral lists this unclassified non-coding RNA (360 nucleotides) under Hevea brasiliensis (rubber tree). Lineage: Eukaryota; Viridiplantae; Streptophyta; Magnoliopsida; Malpighiales; Euphorbiaceae. The record is from RNAcentral.